Molecule: ribosomal RNA, 250 nt
Filed under: uncultured Paracoccaceae bacterium
Lineage: Bacteria; Pseudomonadati; Pseudomonadota; Alphaproteobacteria; Rhodobacterales; Paracoccaceae
Description: uncultured Rhodobacteraceae bacterium partial 16S ribosomal RNA
Rfam family: Bacterial small subunit ribosomal RNA
Source: RNAcentral
UACGGAGGGGGCUAGCGUUGUUCGGAAUUACUGGGCGUAAAGCGCACGUAGGCGGACUGGAAAGUUGGAGGUGAAAUCCCAGGGUUCAACCUUGGAACUGCCUUCAAAACUAUCAGUCUGGAGUUCGAGAGAGGUGAGUGGAAUUGCGAGUGUAGAGGUGAAAUUCGUAGAUAUUCGCAGGAACACCAGUGGCGAAGGCGGCUCACUGGCUCGAUACUGACGCUGAGGUGCGAAAGUGUGGGGAGCAAAC